This 348-nucleotide RNase P RNA is filed under the name Lachnospiraceae bacterium XPB1003. Its description in RNAcentral is "Bacterial RNase P class A". It matches the Rfam family "Bacterial RNase P class A". Rfam says of the family: Ribonuclease P (RNase P) is a ubiquitous endoribonuclease, found in archaea, bacteria and eukarya as well as chloroplasts and mitochondria. Lineage: Bacteria; Bacillati; Bacillota; Clostridia; Lachnospirales; Lachnospiraceae. The record is from Rfam by way of RNAcentral.
GAAGCGGAACGGAUGAUCGCAUGCGCAAGCGUGAGGAAAGUCCGGGCUUCACAGGGCAGGAUGCCGGAUAACGUCCGGCGGAGGCGACUCCCGGGAAAGUGCAACAGAAAACAAACAGCCGCGCAAACGGUAAUGGUGAAAAGGCAGUGUAAGAGACUACCGGUCUGACGGUAACGGCAGACGCAUUGUAAACCCCAUCCGAAGCAAGACCAAACAGAGGACUAUGGGCCGGCCCGGUCCGUCUUCAGGUAGGUCGCUAAAGCCUGGUGGUAACAUCAGGAUCAGACAGAUGAUCAUCUCGGCGCGAAAGCGCUAUGACAGAACCCGGCUUACAGUUCCGCUUUUAUU